UACAGAGGGGGCAAGCGUUGUUCGGAAUUACUGGGCGUAAAGGGCGCGUAGGCGGCCCGCUAAGUCGGACGUGAAAUCCCCAGGCUCAACUUGGGAACUGCGUCCGAUACUGGAUGGCUUGAGUGCGGGAGAGGGAUGUGGAAUUCCAGGUGUAGCGGUGAAAUGCGUAGAUAUCUGGAGGAACACCGGUGGCGAAGGCGGCAUCCUGGACCGACACUGACGCUGAGGCGCGAAAGCUAGGGGAGCAAACGGG
RNAcentral lists this ribosomal RNA (253 nucleotides) under uncultured bacterium. RNAcentral describes it as "partial 16S ribosomal RNA". It matches the Rfam family "Bacterial small subunit ribosomal RNA", at positions 524 to 776 of the family's 1533-position model. The record is from RNAcentral.